This 888-nucleotide ribosomal RNA is filed under the name uncultured bacterium. RNAcentral's name for it is "bacterial SSU rRNA". It matches the Rfam family "Bacterial small subunit ribosomal RNA", at positions 8 to 916 of the family's 1533-position model. The record is from RNAcentral.
AGAGUUUGAUCAUGGCUCAGGACGAACGCUGGCGGUGUGCCUUAUGCAUGCAAGUCGAACGAGCCCCGCAAGGGGCUAGUGGCAAACGGCUGAGUAACACGUGAGUGACCAACCCUUUAGUGGGGGAUAAUCCGCCGAAAGGCGGUGUAAUACCGCAUACGAUCCCGAGGCUCCAUGGUCUUGGGAGGAAAGCCGCAAGGCGCUAAAGGACGGGCUCGCGGCCUAUCAGGUAGUUGGCGGGGUAACGGCCCACCAAGCCUAAGACGGGUAGCUGGUCUGAGAGGACGACCAGUCAGACGGGGACUGAGACACGGCCCCGACUCCUACGGGAGGCAGCAGCAGGGAAUCUUGCGCAAUGGGCGAAAGCCUGACGCAGCGACACCGCGUGAGGGAUGAAGGCUUUCGGGUCGUAAACCUCUUUUUGAGGGGAAGAGCAAGGACGGUACCCUCAGAAUAAGCCCCGGCUAACUACGUGCCAGCAGCCGCGGUAAUACGUAGGGGGCAAGCGUUGUCCGGAUUUACUGGGCGUAAAGGGCGAGUAGGCGGCCUUGUAAGUCCUCGGUGAAAUCUCCUGGCUCAACUAGGAGGGGUCCGAGGAUACUGCCUGGCUAGAGGUGCGUAGAGGAGAGCGGAACUCCCGGUGUAGCGGUGAAAUGCGUAGAUAUCGGGAAGAACACCAGUGGCGAAGGCGGCUCUCUGGACGUCACCUGACGCUGAGGCGCGAAAGCGUGGGGAGCAAACCGGAUCAGAUACCCGGGUAGUCCACGCCCUAAACUAUGGAUGCUGGGGUAUGGGGGGGUAUCGACCCCCUCCGUGCCGAAGCUAACGCGUUAAGCAUCCCGCCUGGGGGACUACGGCCGCAAGGCUAAAACUCAAAGGAAUUGACGG